Molecule: ribosomal RNA, 497 nt
Filed under: uncultured bacterium
Lineage: Bacteria
Description: partial 16S ribosomal RNA
Rfam family: Bacterial small subunit ribosomal RNA
Source: RNAcentral
GACGAACGCUGGCGGCGUGCCUAACACAUGCAAGUUGAGCGACGAACCAGGGCUUGCCCUGGGGCAAAGCUGCGAACGGGUGAGUAACACGUGGGUAACCUACCCCCCUAUCCGGGUGACCCAACUUAAACUCGGCGUAUCUCCGACCGGCUCAUAUGUUUUCCCGUAUGGUUCGAUAGGGAACGUCGGUCUUCCUGUCACUUAGAGACCGAUGCGCGCUUCAUUAGCUGGUUGGUUAGGUAACGGCUCACCAAGGCAACGAUGCGUAGCCGGCCUGAGAGGACGAUCAGCCACACUGGGACUGAGACACGGUCCAGACUCCUACGGGAGGCAGCAGUGGGGAAUCUUGCGCAAUGGGCGAAAGCGUGACGCAGCAACGCCGCGUGGGGGAAGAAGGCCUUCGGAUUGUAAACCCCUUUUAGGAGGGAAGAAGGUAUGGGGGUGAAUAGACGCCCGGACUGACGGUACCUCAACAGAAAGCCACGGCUAACUACGUG